UGUCAUCUGAUUUACAGAUUUGUGUUUGUUUGUGGCUUGAAUGACAGUUGCUGAUUGAUAUAAGCAAUUUAACCUUUAAUCAAUGGGGCAUUUGAAGUAUCUAAGAAGUUAGGAUGACUUUGCUUGUAAGACAGAAAUCAGUUGCAGAGUUUCAGUACAUUCCGUUUAUUUGAGUUCGUCAUAUAAGAUGAUGAUGAGUCUGGUGACUGGUGUAAAUCUUCUUGUGUGUAUGAUGCAAAAGCUAAGUAUAGAUCACAGGAAUGCCAUUUGUUGUUUGACAUGUUACGAUUCCAGGAGAGGGUUACUUUCCAACCAAAAUGAAUUUACCUUAAUCACAUAUCACUAUCACUAGUGAACAACAUAUGUUGGAUGGCUAUGUGGUUAGCAUAUCUGAUUGUCGUAGUUAAAGUCCCAGGAUCGAUACCCCAUUGCAACAGUCAGUCAUUGUGUAAAGGUGGAAUAUUUCUCAUACAGCUCCUACUGCGGGUGUCAGUCGGAAAAAUAUAAACGAACUCACCACUUCUAAGUUUGUCGUAUUGCUUGUGCCUAACAACAAGCAUACCUAUAUAUAAUUCACCUUAAUCACAUAUCACUAUCAACAGUGAAAACAUAUGUUGGAUGGCUUUUUGGUGAGCAAAUCUGAUUGUCAUAGUUAAAGUCUCAGGAUCGAUACUCCAUUGCAAAACAGUCAAUCAUUGUGUAUAGAUUCCAUACUUCAAUUUAAUUUGUAAUUUCAGUUAUUUGUUUACAAUUCUUCGAAACCAAUAGGAAUAGUAUAAUUCAGUCUUCAGUAAUGGAUCUAACCAGGUACUUUAGGUAGAAUAUAAUUUCAUUUGGAAUUAUAUUGUUGAAACAUGAGAAAAAUGCUUUGCGCAUUGAAGAGUUCGCUGUAUCGAUGUCAUUACAUUGUGUUUUGGGAUUUUAUUUGCCCUUAACGUAUGAGUCAGAUGGAUUUUCAAUUUAAUCAAUUGAAUUGAUUGAUACGGAAGAUUUAAAGACAGGAUUGAAAGAAUUAAACAUUCAAGUGUGCAUGUCAAAUAUUUUGUAUUAUAGCUGUGAUUCAGUCAUUCCAUACAUGACCGAAAAUUUAUUUUCAUUCACAACCCGUUAAAGAAAAAUUGUUUACUCCGUGGCUGAUUGGAUUCCAAUGAGUUCACGAAAAAAAUUUUUUUAAACGCAGGUCUUGGUAAUAAUGGCUUGGUGAACAUGUCAGCAGGUUCAUCCUUUCCGGGCACGUGAGUUACUGCAAUGUUGCCCAGGUCUUGUUUGUCACGUAUAUUGUCGUUUCUCACCUAAAGAGAAAAAUAUACUGAACAUAUUUGUCACUGUCAA
This is a long non-coding RNA of Daphnia pulicaria, 1332 nucleotides long. RefSeq lists it as uncharacterized. Lineage: Eukaryota; Metazoa; Arthropoda; Branchiopoda; Diplostraca; Daphniidae. The record is from RefSeq and is a predicted model, not a curated record. The transcript is spliced from 5 exons.